Molecule: ribosomal RNA, 660 nt
Filed under: Desulfobulbaceae bacterium PR8_G05
Lineage: Bacteria; Pseudomonadati; Thermodesulfobacteriota; Desulfobulbia; Desulfobulbales; Desulfobulbaceae
Description: bacterial SSU rRNA
Rfam family: Bacterial small subunit ribosomal RNA
Source: RNAcentral
ACGCGUAAGUAAUCUGUCCUGAUAUCUGGAAUAACACUCCGAAAGGUGUGCUAAUACCGGAUACGCUGAGAAAUCAGGAAAGGUGGCCUCUUCAUGAAAGCUACUGUAUCAGGAGGAGCUUGCGUACCAUUAGCUAGUUGGUGGGGUAAUGGCCUACCAAGGCAACGAUGGUUAGCGGGUCUGAGAGGAUGAUCCGCCACACUGGAACUGGAACACGGACCAGACUCCUACGGGAGGCAGCAGUGAGGAAUAUUGCGCAAUGGGGGCAACCCUGACGCAGCGACGCCGCGUGGAUGAUGAAGGCCUUCGGGUCGUAAAAUCCUGUCAGAUGGAAAGAAAUGUCAUAUGCCUAAUAUGUGUAUGAUUUGACGGUACCAUCAAAGGAAGCACCGGCUAACUCCGUGCCAGCAGCCGCGGUAAUACGGAGGGUGCAAGCGUUGUUCGGAAUUACUGGGCGUAAAGCGCGCGUAGGCGGCUUUUUAAGUCAGAUGUGAAAGUCCACGGCUCAACCGUGGAAGUGCAUUUGAUACUGGGAAGCUUGAGUACUGGAGGGGAUGGUGGAAUUCCCGGUGUAGAGGUGAAAUUCGUAGAUAUCGGGAGGAAUACCGGUGGCGAAGGCGACCAUCUGGCCAGAUACUGACGCUGAGGUGCGAAAGCGUG